AGUUCUCACAUACUGUGAUCGGUCAGUGAGGUAGUCCAGAAUCCAUGUUGUGAGGUGAUGGUCCACUCCAGAGUUCUCCAGCUUGUCCUACAGGACCGUGGGCAGAAUGGUGUUAAAGGCACUGGAGAAAUCAAAGAACAUGAUUCUCUCAGUGCUCCCAGCGGUCUCCGGGUGAGAGAGGGAACGAUGCAUGAGGUGAAUGACAGCAUCAUCCGCUUCAAUGCCAGGCUGGUAAGUAAACUGAAGUGGGUCCAGUGAUGAGCUCACCAGGCACCGAAGCUGAGCUAGGACCAGCCACUCCAGGAUCUUCAUCAGGAAGUCAGAGCCACCGGACUACAGCUGUUGAGGUCCUUGGGGCGUGAAGUCUUUGGCACUGGUAUCACACAGGAGGUUUUCCAGAGCUGUGGGACUCUCCCCAGCCUCAGGCUCAGGUUGACGAGGUGCUCCAUCACCCCACACAGUUGGUCUGCACAGGACCUGACCACCCGUGAGCUGAUGCCAUCUGGACCCUCAGGUUUCCUGGCUUUAAUCCUCCUCAGUUCCCUCCUAACCUGGGUGGUUGAGAGAGAACCACUCUCAACACAAGAGAGAAGCUUUGUGUUGAGUGUGUAUUGGAUGCUGUUGUUGGGGGUGGGGAGGAGUGAGCAGGGUGAGUAGAGGAGGUGUUAAGUAUCUGAGGUGUCAGAGGUGGAACAGCAGCAGUGGGGGUGGGUGAGUCUGCAGCCGAUGUUGAAGACUGCCUCAUGGAUGAAUCAAAUCAGUUGAAGAAAUGAUUCAGUUCAUUUGCCCACCUCACAUCCCCCUAGGCAGAAAGUUCUGACCUUUGUGGCCUGAGAUGGUUCUGAGGCCUCUCCAGACCUCGCCAAUGUUGUUUUGUUGAAGCUGGUUCUCCAUCUUCUGCCUGUAGCUGUCCUUCCCUUUCCUUAUCAGUCCCCUCAUGGCCACUGAUCAAUGGUCACGACAAUUUGGAUACUAAUGAUCAUGGAACUGACCUCACAGCCCAUUGUUGUAGCUAGAUUCUGUCAUUAUGCAAAUGUACUGUUUAUAAGGUUGGGGAAACCUGCAGUCUGCUGAGACUGAAGAAGUCACCAGUUGGUGAUGAAACAUUUCUCCCAUUCUGGUGCUCUUUAAAGAAUUUUUGAGAUAAAAGUAAGGGUGGAGAUUGGCCUAUAAUUAGAUAAGACAGCUGGGUAAAGUGAUGACUUUUCUCUUGUUCAUAGUCCCCUCGUGCUUCAAGAGGACCACCGUCCUGAGGAAACCUAAUGUGAGCUGUCUCAGUGACUGUCACCCAAAAGCACUUACUUCCAUUGUUAUGAAGUGCUUUGAGCAUAUAGUCAAAGUUCACAUCAUGUCUUCGAUGCCUGCUCGACCCAUUUCAGUUUACAUGAAGGGCCAAAAAGAUUCACAGAUCAUGCAAUAGCAUUAGCUCUGUAUACUGCCCCCUCACAAGAAAACAGCCAGAACAGCAUCUAAAGAACAUACGGUUACAGUGUAACCUUGGUUCUGUGAGUGAGAGGCUAUCUCUCCACUCCGUUACAUAUUCCAUAUGUACGGGGCACGACCCCCCCUUGGUAGUGGCGUGUGGAUACUUCUUUAAGACACUCCGGCUCGCCCGGCCACACCUCACAGCUUAUUUAUAAACAGCUGUACCAGCGAUAGUUUGAUCGGAAUGCGCCUCCGAGCGGCCUUAAGGUGGAGAGAUAGUCUCUCACUCACAGAACCAAGGUUACACCGUAACCGUACUUUCUCUAUUAUAUUGAGGCUAUCUCUCCACUCCAUUAGAUAUUCCAUAUGUACGGGGUAACUCUGUAAGACACCCCAUGAGGAGACGGUGCAACUGAACCGAUAGUGAAAAUGCCAUUGACAAAUGUACACAUAAGCAGACCACCCUGGUCAGAGCUUCACCAGACACGAAGGCCAAGCCGGGGGGGGGGGGGGGGGGGCAUCAGUCAGCAGGCGCAAGAUUGGCCUGAACCGGCCCUGCAGAUGCAAGAACCCCAAUUGAUUGGCCACUCAAAGUCAGCCCGUGAACCACCAGGCCGAACGGCAGGAAGCGCAGCACCAGUUUGGAACCUGCUGGCUACAAACCUACAACAUGCAGGCAAUAUGCCAGACAGAGAGUCACACGCCACAGCGAGGUCUGACUGAUGCGUAAACCGGCGAACCGCAGGCAACAAGCCAGGGGAACGCAGCAGGCCGAGGUAGGGAUGUGACUUGUCCAUCCCCAGAGUCAAAGCCGCCCCGUGCCAUCGACAGACAGGGAAGGGGGGCCUGGCAGCCUAGCCAGCAGAAGUGGAGGGCUAAGCAUUGGGAGGACCCCAAGGUCCACUCCCAGCACCGAGCAGCCACUAUGUGCUGCCCGCAGGCAGAUGAGCAACAAGAGCGAACUCACAAACAAGACAGUCAUUCAGUUACAGCCCACUGAGUGGGCCUGUGCAGGCCGCGUAAGCUGUGACAGGCAGGCGUGCACCAGACAGAGAGCCAGAGCUGCAGGCUGGAGGACUCACACUCACUGGCUGACGAGCCCCAUGUGCACACUCUGCAAAAGAUCUCCAGCUGGGGCCUGAGAAGCCUAGGGCCAGAACCUGGAAUCCCAGGAGCAGACUGAGGAAAGAAGCACAGCUCACUGAGCUGACGAUCGGGAACCCAACUGGCCCUGCAAACCUGCAACAUGCAGGCUAGACGCCAGACAGGGAGCCAUCGCUGCAGGCUGAGGAACACUCACACACAGCGAGGUCCAAUUGGUGCGUAAACCGGCGAGCCGCGGGCAAUACGUCCAUCUGGACGUGGGGAGCUGGCGUCCUAGCCCACCAAAAGGCCACAUGGGGCCUAAACCCGAAGGCAGAGUGGCCGCUAAGCACUGUCCGCAGAAAGGGGAGCAGCAAGAGUGAACUCCAUAAGAGACACUCGUGCACAGGCGGCGCUGCAGGCUGGAGAACACUCACUCGCCGGCUGAAGAAUCAGACUAGGUGAGGUCCAGCUGGCCGGUAAACUGAUGAAUGUGGGCAAUAAGCCAGGGGAGCACAGCCUAUUAAGCCACUCGAGCAUGGCAGCUAGCUAAUGCCAUGACGCACAGUGGAUGGUCCUAGGAGCCAAGCAUCCAACCCGCACUGUCCCACAAGGGCGAGGGGCUGGUGGCUUAGUCCAUAGAGAGUGGAGGGCCCAAGUGGGGAGGCGGUCCAAGUGGGGGGGGGCUUGCAGUCUAGUCCGUUGAAAGGCGAAGUGGGGACUUACCCCGAAGGUCUGCCCCAGGGCCGAGUGGCCACUAGCAUUGUCCGCAGAAAGGGGAGCAGCAAGAGUGAACUCGAGAAUGAGACACUUGUGCACAGCCGGUGCUGCAGGCUGGAGAACACAUACUCGCCAGCUGAGGAAUCACACACAGCGAGGUCCAGCUGGCGUGUAAACCUGUGAAUGCAGGCAAUACGCCAGGGGAACACAGCCUGCAGCUGCAGCAGCUAUAUGCCAGAGAGAAUCCUGGCUAAAAUAGGCUGGAGAACACUCACUCGCCACAGCGAGGUCCAACUGGCGCGUAAGCCUGAGAAAUGCAGCCAACACGCCAGGGGAACACAGCCUGCAGCUGAAGUGGAGGUCAGAGUCAGGGACAUGACUCACCGGGGGGUGUCAGCUCACUGAGCAGGCCCCUGCCGGCCAUGUAAACCCACAACAUGUGGGCAAUCUCCUAGACAGAGAGCCAUCGCCGCAGGCUGGAGAACUGUCAACCACUGCCUGAGGUGUCAAUGCAGCGUGGCUCGACUGGCAUAUAAACCUGUGAACCGCGGGCAAUAUGCCAAGGGAACAUAGCCUGCAGCAGGAGCUGGCCACUAGGCCCAACUCAAAGGAUGUCAGGGGGGAGGAGGGUGGCUGGAGGACAGCUGAGUCUUAGCUCCAAGUCCUCCCUGUCUCACCUGUAUACGGCCAUCUGCGAAGGACUCAAACUGGGGCUGGAGAUCUCCAGGGCCCCAAGUUGGAGUCUUGGGGACAGGGCAAGGCCCAAAAGCUCUGGGCCCCCCUACCCUGGCCAUAUGCCCGCACAGGCACCUCAACAGCGAGGUGGCUGCAGGGUCGACCGGCAGCCUCAUCAGGCAGCCCUAUGACCAGAGCCGGGGCUGACAGCCAGAGGUGGUGACAAAAAAAUGAGGUGAAAGAGGAGCCGGUAGUAUGGCGUGCUCCCAUAUAAGCGAGGGCAGGUGCGAGGAAGGAGCCAACAGCUGUCCUGCACCGUCUGUGUCCCCAGCCCGCCUGCAGCUGUCACUCCAAGUGCCGCUGAUGGAGAGUCAAAUGGUAUUAUUUAACAGUGCUUGCCGCUGUUCUCCAUUUUGCUUGUCUUGCCGUAUGUUAAGUGGGUGACUGGACAUUUCAUUUUGGCUAGCUUGUUUAUUAGCAAUGACUUGCGCCACAUUCAUGUGCUCCUUACUUUUUCAUGUUUGUCAAAUAAAGAAUCGUUAAAAUUCUUUGAGCAUUUAAAAAAUGCACCUGAUUUGUCUGCUAGAUGUGGAUGAAAGCGGCAAAUCUUGCACCACAUUUCAGCGCACUCAUUGUUAGCUUCAAGCCAUGGCACAUCUUGGAGCCACUUUUCUGAAAAAAAGUCUUUUCUUCGGCUCUGGCGUUUCUUAGCUGGUGGCGGCACACCAAAGAAGCUGCUUAAUGUCUGGGGUUUAUUUUGGGAAAUUUAGCUGGUGACAAGAAACACAUGGAAGGUUAAAUGACACGGUCAAGUAUGCAAAGGCACUUGGUAACGCAAGUGUCACUAGGCAUUCCUAAUUUUUGUCACGCAUGCGUACCUGAGUACCAGUUAUGUGCACCCCUGUCUAUAACACACAGACAAACAACCCCUCACUCAAUAACUGCUAUCAAAUUAUCAUGUCUAUUCAACCUAACAUGAAUGUUUUAGAUCUGUGGUAGGAAGGUGGAGUACCUGAAGAAAACACACACAUGCACAGUUAGAAAUACAAACUCAGCCAAGGCUUUAUACUAGGAACCUUCUGGCUGUGAGACAACAGUGCUAACCACCAUACCACUGUGCCACCCAUAGUAACUCAUAUAAUAAUUAUUAUUAUCAUUUCCACACUGUUCAGCAUUUAGUCUAUCAAGUUUGUUGUUAUAGCUAACAACUACUGCAGGAAAAUGGCAAGUUUCUUUAAGGUAUUGUUCUGUGUGUUCGUAAUGCUUGUAACCCUGGACUAUACUUCUGAAGAUGAGAUUAAAAUGGGAGUCUCUGGGAAUAACUAGGUGAGGAGCUAUUAAUGCCUUCAUAUACCAGCUGCCAUAAUUUUGUACUUUGCUUCAAAUAAAUAACUAAUACUUUUUUUUUUAAAGGAAUGUCCUAUUAAACAAAAACAACAAAAUAACAAAUGCAAUAAAAACCCAGUCCUUCCUCACUGUAAAUAUUUCACUGAAAUUCCAUUUAAAAGAAAGGGUAAGCACUCUCGUCACCUGACCACUUUUUAGCCAAUGAGCUUCAGUUUUCACCCCUCCCCCCUCACUUCGUGACUUGGAGUUGAGGAGUAUUGAAGCUUGGCUGUGAACUGGUGUGGAGACGCUAACAGGUAACUUUAAACUUUUGAAUUUUUCCAGCUUUAUAGUCCAGCAACCAGUUAGAUUUAGUUUUGUCAAGGUUUUUCUUUGAUGUAUAUUCCUUGAUUAAGUUUUGUAUUUCAAGCUAAUUCAAAUGCUAAAUCUAGCAUUUUUUGAUGACACGUUGUAUAUUUAUUAGUCAAGGUUAAAUACCUAGUCUAACACAUGUGUUUUUAAUUAAACUGUGACAUUUGAAAUUACUGAGAUGUUAUUAUUUACUCAUCCCACUGUCUCCAGAGUUUAAGCAAUGCUGCAAUAUACGUGACAUGCUAUUAAUGAGACAUUUCAGAUAACCGUGGUAGCUAACAUUUAACUCUCUGGAGUGCAGAUCACAUGGCCAAUUUAUGGUCUAUCAACUACAUGCGUAUCAGUUUUUUAAAAUGUGUUGAUAGGCCAAGUAAAACCAGAUUGAAGAUGUCAUCACGUUUAGUGCAGGAACAAAUAAAAACGUGAUUUCCUUUAAAAAAGAGAUAGAUAGAUAUAUUUUUACCUCUCCUUCCCUAUUGUGUUGAAUAAAUGAACAAGAGCCGAUCAAACAAUUAUAUGGCUGUUUUGGUUGUUUACUAAUAGGGAAACUUGUGGGAGUGAUGGCAGGAGAGAGCGGUGUCUAUAACAACUUUUGAGAUGUGAGAGAUUUGUGACAUUAAGUGUGUCUGGAGUGUAUAGUUAGUUUGUAGUUAAAUCUGGGUUUGAUUGAUUGUUUUGUGUGUCAGAAUGGUGAGGUGAAUGUCACCCUGACCCUGGCUAAAAAGCUACCAAAGGCAGACUGAAAUCUAAACACUGUCUCCAGGUGUGCAACAGGAGGAGUGAUACACUAAUUGCCUGCAUUUUUACAUAAACAUUUGUAUAGACUGUGGUUUGUAAAAUUUGUACAUAUGUUUUAGAAAUUUGAAAUUAAGUAAUGAGAAAAAAAUCACUAAACAUGUUUGUGGUUUUCAUAGUAAAAAGUAUAACAUUUUCCUACUCUGAUUUUAUGUUUUUGUGUAAUUUUUUUUAGGUCAAUUGUGUUAAUACAAUAUGUCAAAAUUACAAAAUAAAUGUAGUCAGACAUGUGAGGUUGUUCUGUAAAGAAUGAUGCCAAACAAGGCAAGGAAAUUUUUUUUUAACAGCGAAAUAUAGAGGUAUAAUCAAAAGUAGUCGAAAACAGCCAAUUAUACCCUUGAAAGCACCUCCUGUAAAACAUCAUUUUUCACUGUAAACUACAUUGAGAAGUAGUAUACAAAUUGUACAUUUUUUUCCCAUUUCUGAGACAGUGCAUUGCAAUGAGGCAGCCAAGAGAAAAGAUUAAACCCAUAGAUGAAGCUGAUGUGCCCAUGGCAUCGUCCUCCCUCAAAGAUGAUGAGUAGUGCAUUACAAUGAGGGAGCCAAGAGACAAGUUUAAACCCAAAGAUGAAGCUGAUGCGCCCAUGGCAUCGUCCUCCCUCAAAGAUGAUGAGCAGGGCACACCGAUCUUCCUCAUGUUGAUACGCCCAUGGCAUCGUCCUCCCUCAAAGAUGAUGAGCAGGGCACACCGAUCUUCCUCAUGUUGAUAUGCCCAUGGCAUCGUCCUCCCUCAAAGAUGAUGAGCAGGGCACACCGAUCUUCCUCAUGUUGAUAUGCCCAUGGCAUCGUCCUCCUCAAA
Long non-coding RNA from Oreochromis niloticus (Nile tilapia), 7195 nucleotides. RefSeq lists it as uncharacterized. Lineage: Eukaryota; Metazoa; Chordata; Actinopteri; Cichliformes; Cichlidae. The transcript has 5 exons. The record is from RefSeq and is a predicted model, not a curated record.